This 414-nucleotide ribosomal RNA is filed under the name uncultured microorganism. RNAcentral describes it as "bacterial SSU rRNA". It matches the Rfam family "Archaeal small subunit ribosomal RNA", at positions 459 to 872 of the family's 1478-position model. The record is from RNAcentral.
CAGCAGCCGCGGUAAUACCGGCGGCCCGAGUGGCGGUCACUAUUAUUGGGCUUAAAGCGUCCGUAGCCGGGUUGGGAAGUCCUCCGGGAAAUCUGGCCGCUUAACGGUCAGAAUGCCGGAGGAUACUCCCAGCCUAGGGAGCGGGAGAGGCCGAGGGGAUUCCCGGAGGAGGGGGGAAAUCCUAUAAUCCCGGGAGGACCACCUGUGGCGAAGGCGCUCGGCUGGAACGCGUCCGACGGUGAGGGCCGAAGGCCAGGGGAGCAAACCGGAUUAGAUACCCGGGUAGUCCUGGCUGUAAACGAUGCGGACUUUGUGUCGGACAAGCUAUGAGCUUGUCCGGUGCCGGAGGGAAACCGUUAAGUCCGCCGCCUGGGGAGUACGGCCGCAAGGCUGAAACUUAAAGGAAUUGGCGGG